CCUACGGGUGGCAGCAGUGGGGAAUAUUGCACAAUGGGGGAAACCCUGAUGCAGCGACGCCGCGUGAGGGAAGAAGUCCUUCGUUAUGUAAAGCUCUAUCAGCAGGGAAGAAAAUGACGGUACCUGAGUAAGACUCCCCGGCUCACUACGUUCCAGCAGCCGCGGUAAUACGGAGGGGGCCAGCGUUAUCCGGAUUUACUGGGUGUAAAGGGAGCGUAGACGGCAGUGCAAGUCUGGAGUGAAAGGCCGGGGCUCAACCCCCGGACUGCCCUGGAAACUGUACGGCUGGAGUGCAGGAGAGGUAAGUGGAAUUCCUAGUGUAGCGGUGAAAUGCGUAGAUAUUAGGCGGAACACCAGUGGCGAAGGCGGCUUACCGGACUGUAACUGACGUUGAGGCUCGAAAGCGUGGGGAGCAAACAGGAUUAGAUACCCGUGUAGUC
This 440-nucleotide ribosomal RNA is filed under the name uncultured bacterium. Its description in RNAcentral is "partial 16S ribosomal RNA". It matches the Rfam family "Bacterial small subunit ribosomal RNA", at positions 338 to 795 of the family's 1533-position model. The record is from RNAcentral.